This is a long non-coding RNA of Pygocentrus nattereri (red-bellied piranha), 170 nucleotides long. RefSeq lists it as uncharacterized. The transcript is spliced from 3 exons. The record is from RefSeq and is a predicted model, not a curated record. Lineage: Eukaryota; Metazoa; Chordata; Actinopteri; Characiformes; Serrasalmidae.
UCUUCCCUGUCUUUGAGAGGAGCUCAUCACUUCAGUGGUGGACUUCAUACAUGCUUCUGCUGGAGAUGAGAAGGUAACAAGUCCCUCAUCUAGCUGCCCCCGUAAGUCAAUUGUAGUCAGACUAAGAAGAUGCAAAAUCGUCUGUUUCUAUAAUAAAUUCAUAAUUUUUG